GUGCUUGCUUCGGCAGCACAUAUACUAAAAUUGGAACCAUACAGGGAAGAUUAGCAUGGCCCCUGUGCAAGGAUGACACGCAAAUUCGUGAAGUGUUCCAUAUUUUU
This 107-nucleotide small nuclear RNA is filed under the name Dasypus novemcinctus (nine-banded armadillo). Lineage: Eukaryota; Metazoa; Chordata; Mammalia; Cingulata; Dasypodidae. The record is from RNAcentral.